UACAGAGGGUGCAAGCGUUGUUCGGAAUUAUUGGGCGUAAAGGGCGCGUAGGCGGUGCGGUAAGUCUGUCGUGAAAUCUCUGGGCUCAACUCAGAGUCUGCUGCAGAAACUGCCGUGCUUGAGUGUGGGAGAGGUGAGUGGAAUUCCCGGUGUAGCGGUGAAAUGCGCAGAUAUCGGGAGGAACACCUAUGGCGAAGGCAGCUCGCUGGGACGUUACUGACGCUGAGACGCGAAAGCGUGGGGAGCAAACAGG
RNAcentral lists this ribosomal RNA (253 nucleotides) under uncultured bacterium. RNAcentral's name for it is "partial 16S ribosomal RNA". It matches the Rfam family "Bacterial small subunit ribosomal RNA", at positions 524 to 776 of the family's 1533-position model. The record is from RNAcentral.